Molecule: transfer RNA, 84 nt
Filed under: Mesorhizobium sp. LSHC420B00
Lineage: Bacteria; Pseudomonadati; Pseudomonadota; Alphaproteobacteria; Hyphomicrobiales; Phyllobacteriaceae
Description: tRNA-Arg
Rfam family: tRNA (bases 24-81)
About the family: Transfer RNA (tRNA) molecules are approximately 80 nucleotides in length. Their secondary structure includes four short double-helical elements and three loops (D, anti-codon, and T loops).
Source: RNAcentral
CCACUUGGGGUAAGCUUGGGUAAGAACUCGUCUCCUGCCCUCCGAAGGCAGAGGUCACAGGUUCGAAUCCUGUCGGGUGCGCCA